CGCUGGCGGCGUGCUUAACACAUGCAAGUCGAACGAAGCACUUAUGAAAGAUUCUCGGAUGAUGGAUUAAGUGACUGAGUGGCGGACGGGUGAGUAACGCGUGGGUAACCUGCCUCAUACAGGGGGAUAACAGUUAGAAAUGACUGCUAAUACCGCAUAAGCGCACAGUACUGCAUGGUACAGUGUGAAAAACUCCGGUGGUAUGAGAUGGACCCGCGUCUGAUUAGCUAGUUGGUGGGGUAACGGCUCACCAAGGCGACGAUCAGUAGCCGACCUGAGAGGGUGAUCGGCCACAUUGGAACUGAGACACGGUCCAAACUCCUACGGGAGGCAGCAGUGGGGAAUAUUGGUCAAUGGGCGCGAGCCUGAACCAGCCAAGUAGCGUGAAGGAUGACUGCCCUACGGGUUGUAAACUUCUUUUGUUUGGGAAUAAAUGAUACUACGUGUAGUAUUUUGCAUGUACCUUACGAAUAAGCAUCGGCUAAUUCCGUG
This 492-nucleotide ribosomal RNA is filed under the name uncultured bacterium. Its description in RNAcentral is "bacterial SSU rRNA". It matches the Rfam family "Bacterial small subunit ribosomal RNA", at positions 34 to 507 of the family's 1533-position model. The record is from RNAcentral.